This 545-nucleotide ribosomal RNA is filed under the name uncultured bacterium. RNAcentral describes it as "bacterial SSU rRNA". It matches the Rfam family "Bacterial small subunit ribosomal RNA", at positions 8 to 526 of the family's 1533-position model. The record is from RNAcentral.
AGAGUUUGAUCAUGGCUCAGAACGAACGCUGGCGGCGUGGAUAAGACAUGCAAGUCGGACGCUGAUUAGAGGGUAGCAAUAUUCUCUAGUUGGAGUGGCGCAAGGGUGCGUAACACGUGGGUAAUCUGCCGUGAAGACUGGGAUAACUCGCUGAAAGGCGAGCUAAUACCGGGUAAGACUGUUGGGAGGCAUCUCCUGACAUUGGAAGCUGGGGACCGAAAGGCCUGGCGCUUCACGAUGAGCCCGCGGCCUAUCAGCUAGUUGGUGAGGUAACGGCUCACCAAGGCUAAGACGGGUAGCUGGUCUGAGAGGACGACCAGCCACACUGGAACUGAGACACGGUCCAGACACCUACGGGUGGCAGCAGUCGAGAAUUUUUCACAAUGGGCGCAAGCCUGAUGGAGCGACGCCGCGUGGGGGAUGAAGGGUUUCGAUCCGUAAACCCCUGUCAUUUGCGAACAAACCUUAUGCAAUAACACUGCAUGAGCUGAUUGUAGCGGAAGAGGAAGGGACGGCUAACUCUGUGCCAGCAGCCGCGGUAAUAC